AUUUCGGAAUUAAUGUCAAAAUUAUCCGUCUUUGGAAAAAGUAUAUCGCAGCUGAUCGAUAUACUAUUGAGUUGGUGCUAUGCGAUUCCUUUGGAGAUAAGAUUCAUGCUUCUAUUAGUAGUUCUUUGGUAGCACCAUAUGAGCCAAG
Long non-coding RNA from Brassica oleracea var. oleracea, 148 nucleotides. RefSeq lists it as uncharacterized. The transcript is spliced from 3 exons. The record is from RefSeq and is a predicted model, not a curated record. NCBI's taxonomy places the organism in Eukaryota, Viridiplantae, Streptophyta, Magnoliopsida, Brassicales, Brassicaceae.